This 489-nucleotide ribosomal RNA is filed under the name uncultured bacterium. RNAcentral describes it as "bacterial SSU rRNA". It matches the Rfam family "Bacterial small subunit ribosomal RNA", at positions 21 to 507 of the family's 1533-position model. The record is from RNAcentral.
GGCUCAGAUUGAACGCUGGCGGCAUGCCUUACACAUGCAAGUCGAACGGUAACGGGCCUUCGGGUGCCGACGAGUGGCGAACGGGUGAGUAAUGCAUCGGAACGUACCUUCAGUGGGGGAUAACGUAGCGAAAGUUACGCUAAUACCGCAUAUUCUGUGAGCAGGAAAGCAGGGGAUCGCAAGACCUUGCGCUGAUUGAGCGGCCGAUGUCAGAUUAGCUAGUUGGUGAGGUAAAGGCUCACCAAGGCGACGAUCUGUAGCGGGGUCUGAGAGGAUGAUCCGCCACACUGGAACUGAGACACGGUCCAGACUCCUACGGGAGGCAGCAGUGGGGAAUUUUGGACAAUGGGGGCAACCCUGAUCCAGCCAUGCCGCGUGAGUGAAGAAGGCCUUCGGGUUGUAAAGCUCUUUCGGCCGGGAAGAAAUCGCAUGGGUUAAUACCCUGUGCGGAUGACGGUACCGGCAUAAGAAGCACCGGCUAACUACGUG